Molecule: ribosomal RNA, 666 nt
Filed under: Eleusine coracana subsp. africana (African finger millet)
Lineage: Eukaryota; Viridiplantae; Streptophyta; Magnoliopsida; Poales; Poaceae
Description: eukaryotic LSU rRNA
Rfam family: 5.8S ribosomal RNA (bases 246-401)
Source: RNAcentral
ACCUGCGGAAGGAUCAUUGUCGUGACCCUAAACCAAAACAAACCGUGAACUUGUCAUCCAUGCUGCCGGGUGAUGGGUCUUGCACCCAUCGCUUGGUACAGGCCGACUACCUUCUAUAUAGAAGGUGGUGGUCCAAAAGAACCUACGGCGCCGUAUGGCGUCAAGGAAAACUAAUAUUGCUUUAACGGUGGUCACAUUUGGCAUGCCGUAUGUACCCCGUGCAGCGAUGCAUUGUUAAGUCACAUGACUCUCGGCAACGGAUAUCUUGGCUCUCGCAUCGAUGAAGAACGUAGCAAAAUGCGAUACCUGGUGUGAAUUGCAGAAUCCCGUGAACCAUCGAGUUUUUGAACGCAAGUUGCGCCCGAGGCCUUUUGGUCGAGGGCACGUCUGCCUGGGCGUCACGUCAAAAGACACUCCCCACCAUUUCAUGGUGUGGAUGUGGAUUUGGCUCCUCAUGCCUUAGGGCGUGGUGGACCGAAGAUGGAGCUGCCGGUUGUGCCGAUUGCAGCACAAGGUGGAUGACGAAUGUUGUUCUCACUGCUUUGAUCGAAACAGCUCCGGUGAUGCAAUGGCUCUCUGGACCCAUGGACUGAAGUGCAUUUUUAUCGAACUGCGACCCCAGGUCAGUCGGGACUACCCGCUGAAUUUAAGCAUAUCAAUAAGCGG